This 468-nucleotide ribosomal RNA is filed under the name uncultured bacterium. Its description in RNAcentral is "partial 16S ribosomal RNA". It matches the Rfam family "Bacterial small subunit ribosomal RNA", at positions 28 to 507 of the family's 1533-position model. The record is from RNAcentral.
GACGAACGCUGGCGGCGUGCUUAACACAUGCAAGUCGAACGGAAAGGCCCUGCUUUUGUGGGGUGCUCGAGUGGCGAACGGGUGAGUAACACGUGAGUAACCUGCCCUUGACUUUGGGAUAACUUCAGGAAACUGGGGCUAAUACCGGAUAGGAGCUCCUGCUGCAUGGUGGGGGUUGGAAAGUUUCGGCGGUUGGGGAUGGACUCGCGGCUUAUCAGCUCGUUGGUGGGGUAGUGGCUUACCAAGGCUUUGACGGGUAGCCGGCCUGAGAGGGUGACCGGCCACAAUGGGACUGAGAUACGGCCCAGACGCCUACGGGAGGCAGCAGUGGGGAAUAUUGCACAAUGGGCGGAAGCCUGAUGCAGCAACGCCGCGUGCGGGAUGACGGCCUUCGGGUUGUAAACCGCUUUCGCCUGUGACGAAGCGUGAGUGACGGUAAUGGGUAAAGAAGCACCGGCUAACUACGUG